UCGCAGGUCGGCAGCGUGAGGUCCUCUGUGCCACCUUCCAUCAGUAGGAACCCAGCCAUGGUGAACGAAGCCAGAGGAAACAGCAGCCUCAACCCCUGCUUGGAGGGCAGUGCCAGCAGUGGCAGUGAGAGCUCCAAAGAUAGUUCGAGAUGUUCCACCCCGGGCCUGGACCCCGAGCGGCAUGAGAGACUCCGGGAGAAGAUGAGGCGGCGAUUGGAAUCUGGUGACAAGUGGUUCUCCCUGGAAUUCUUCCCUCCUCGAACUGCUGAGGGAGCUGUCAAUCUCAUCUCAAGGUUUGACCGGAUGGCAGCAGGCGGCCCCCUCUACAUAGACGUGACCUGGCACCCAGCAGGUGACCCUGGCUCAGACAAGGAGACCUCCUCCAUGAUGAUCGCCAGCACCGCCGUGAACUACUGUGGCCUGGAGACCAUCCUGCACAUGACCUGCUGCCGUCAGCGCCUGGAGGAGAUCACGGGCCACCUGCACAAAGCUAAGCAGCUGGGCCUGAAGAACAUCAUGGCGCUGCGGGGAGACCCAAUAGGUGACCAGUGGGAAGAGGAGGAGGGAGGCUUCAACUACGCAGUGGACCUGGUGAAGCACAUCCGAAGUGAGUUUGGUGACUACUUUGACAUCUGUGUGGCAGGGCUACCACUCCCUUCGGCAGCUUGUGAAGCUGUCCAAGCUGGAGGUGCCACAGGAGAUCAAGGACGUGAUUGAGCCAAUCAAAGACAACGAUGCUGCCAUCCGCAACUAUGGCAUCGAGCUGGCCGUGAGCCUGUGCCAGGAGCUUCUGGCCAGUGGCUUGGUGCCAGGCCUCCACUUCUACACCCUCAACCGCGAGAUGGCUACCACAGAGGUGCUGAAGCGCCUGGGGAUGUGGACUGAGGACCC
This 891-nucleotide small RNA is filed under the name Pan troglodytes (chimpanzee). RNAcentral's name for it is "processed transcript". Lineage: Eukaryota; Metazoa; Chordata; Mammalia; Primates; Hominidae. The record is from RNAcentral.